UAGGGAAUCUUCGGCAAUGGACGAAAGUCUGACCGAGCAACGCCGCGUGAGUGAAGAAGGUUUUCGGAUCGUAAAACUCUGUUGUUAGAGAAGAACAAGGACGUUAGUAACUGAACGUCCCCUGACGGUAUCUAACCAGAAAGCCACGGCUAACUACGUGCCAGCAGCCGCGGUAAUACGUAGGUGGCAAGCGUUGUCCGGAUUUAUUGGGCGUAAAGCGAGCGCAGGCGGUUUCAUAAGUCUGAUGUGAAAGCCCCCGGCUCAACCGGGGAGGGUCAUUGGAAACUGGGAGACUUGAGUGCAGAAGAGGAGAGUUGAAUUCCAUGUGUAGCGGUGAAAUGCGUAGAUAUAUGGAGGAACACCAGUGGCGAAGGCGGCUCUCUGGUCUGUAACUGACGCUGAGGCUCGAAAGCGUGGGGAGCAAACAGG
This 429-nucleotide ribosomal RNA is filed under the name Chloroflexota bacterium. RNAcentral's name for it is "Chloroflexi bacterium partial 16S ribosomal RNA". It matches the Rfam family "Bacterial small subunit ribosomal RNA", at positions 355 to 776 of the family's 1533-position model. Lineage: Bacteria; Bacillati; Chloroflexota. The record is from RNAcentral.